RNAcentral lists this long non-coding RNA (1692 nucleotides) under Homo sapiens (human). RNAcentral describes it as "HSALNT0101165". Lineage: Eukaryota; Metazoa; Chordata; Mammalia; Primates; Hominidae. The record is from RNAcentral.
CAUUUUAAUGUCCCUCUGCUUGGAUUUGCUACUUAGUUUUUCUUUAAUCAGGAUAGGGGCCCUCAAUCUCGAUGAAGAUAACACGAGGAGUGCACAGGCAAGUGCCCAGUUGCCAGCAAUUGCUUCAAAAGCCCAUGUUCUUCUUUUCCCCCAUUCUUAGGCACAGCCAAAAUUGGUCAGAAAGGGGAGUAAAGUGGGACACGAGCUUCAAAGUAGGGAAACCAAAGAAGGGAGCAUCCACGUCCUCUCUCUGCAGCUUCUCCCCCGCGUUCUUCGGGCGAAUCCGAGGGACGGGCGCUGCGCUGGGGAAAGUUUGUCCCACCCGCGUUUCGCAGCUGGUUGCAAGGAGAGGAGGAGGAGAGGGAGGGUCAAGCUCGGAGCCUGUGACCGCACGGAUGAUCGAGCCGGCGUCGCGCUUACCUCGCAGUCCUCGUACUUGAUAUUAUCCGUCAAUUUCCAAAGCAUUUUCAUGGAUCGGCGUGAACGGAUAUGCCCCUCUCGGUCUCGCACCCAAGUGGAGCUACUCUCUGGGUCUUUACCAACAGCCUAAUCGCCUCAUUAGCAUAUCAACAAUAGUCCAAUUGCUCGCCAGUACCACAAUCUGCCGCCGGCCGCUCCGACACAGGUAUAAAGGCCUCUCUACGCCGCGAACUUGCUUCUAGAGCGCACUCCAGCCUGCGAACUGAUAAAACCUUCCUCGAGCUCCGCCGCGAGGCCCUGCCCCAACACCCCCUCUCUUACCCCAAUUCCGCCACAUUCCCCUUCCUUUCUUUCUCCGCUUCCUUUUCUCCAGAGAUGCCUUCUGCAAAGCCCGGCACUGCUCAAGGUCCAAGCGCCACGCCUGGGGCCCAGCUUCUAGCACUUCUCCCUUAACCCUGCUACCACGAUCCGAGCUGCCCUUUUGGCCCCGUGCAAUUUUAUUAGAAAUCAUUAUCCCUUUCGCAAUUAAACAUAACCACCAAACCAAGACCGGCGAAGUCACUCCAGGAUUUUUUCCCAACAAGGGAUCGCCUCCGCUCGAGGCAGCCACCCCCUCGGGCCGCAGCGCCUUGGGAGUUUUAUUGGCUUUGAGCUUUCCCCCAGGUUGGAGAUUCUGCCAAGCGGCUCCGGUGGCUCUGCUGGGGUUUGCAAUCCCUUAAUUGCAGCGUGUAAAAUAAAAGUUGUACCCUGAAGAGGUUACUUGACAGCUCCAGGGGUUAAACAAUUUUUCUCCUGUUUGUGUGAAGCUAGGGCCAACUGACAGUUCAAAUUGGUGUUCAGGCUAAGGUUUCCUGGGUGCAACGUGGACACGAAUACAGAACUCCUAUGGAACUGCACACCCGCUUCUGAAGUUGAGCCUAAAAACAGACGUGUGUGUGCCUGCAAGUCUAGAUACCGUCUCGUGCGUGCAUCAAAAUAAAUCACCGGGAACCGACUUUUAGCUGUGUUAAUCUGCUCUAGUUUUCCCAAGAUUCCCCUUUUUAAUUAAAGCAGGGAGAGUUCCUUCAUGAUUUGGUGAUGCUACUAACGCGGGCGUGCUCGCGAGGCAGAGCCCGGCUGCCGCGGAACCUGGAGGCCUGGGAGCCACCUACUCGUCCAGACUGGUCAGUCCGGGCUUUUGGACUCCUCACCGGGGCCUGCUGGGUCCUCUGGGGCUUUUAUCCCUUUCGGUUUUGGGAUUUUUUUUUAAGUAAGAAAAAAAAAAAAGAAAAG